This 484-nucleotide ribosomal RNA is filed under the name uncultured bacterium. RNAcentral's name for it is "bacterial SSU rRNA". It matches the Rfam family "Bacterial small subunit ribosomal RNA", at positions 27 to 507 of the family's 1533-position model. The record is from RNAcentral.
CGAUUGAACGCUGGCGGAAUGCUUUACACAUGCAAGUCGAACGGCAGCACGGGGCAACCUGGUGGCGAGUGGCGAACGGGUGAGUAAUACAUCGGAACGUGCCCAAUCGUGGGGGAUAACGUAGCGAAAGUUACGCUAAUACCGCAUACGAUCUACGGAUGAAAGCGGGGGAUCGCAAGACCUCGCGCGAAUGGAGCGGCCGAUGUCAGAUUAGGUAGUUGGUGGGGUAAAGGCUCACCAAGCCAACGAUCUGUAGCUGGUCUGAGAGGACGACCAGCCACACUGGAACUGAGACACGGUCCAGACUCCUACGGGAGGCAGCAGUGGGGAAUUUUGGACAAUGGGCGCAAGCCUGAUCCAGCCAUUCCGCGUGCAGGAUGAAGGCCUUCGGGUUGUAAACUGCUUUUGUACGGAACGAAACGGUCUGCCCUAAUACGGCGGGCUAAUGACGGUACCGUAAGAAUAAGCACCGGCUAACUACGUG